GGGGGCGACCUGGUUUCGACAGGGGUUGCAAAGCAGCGCAGGGCAUACCGAGGGCUGGCUACCUCGUAAAUACAACCAGAAAAAACUUAACUGCAAACGAUAACUCGUACGCACUAGCCGCUUAAUAACCGGUUAGCUCUACACCAC
This 147-nucleotide transfer-messenger RNA is filed under the name Herminiimonas sp. RNAcentral describes it as "partial transfer-messenger RNA". It matches the Rfam family "transfer-messenger RNA", at positions 1 to 152 of the family's 374-position model. From Rfam's summary of the family: Bacterial tmRNA, also known as 10Sa RNA or SsrA, is named for its dual tRNA and mRNA-like properties. Its role is to liberate the mRNA from a stalled ribosome. The record is from RNAcentral. Lineage: Bacteria; Pseudomonadati; Pseudomonadota; Betaproteobacteria; Burkholderiales; Oxalobacteraceae.